UUAACGAUUUAUAUUUAUACUCAGACAACAUAAUUAUAAAAGAAUUUAAUAAGGCUACUGGCAAGCACUGACCAAGAGCAUAUAAGCCCCCGGCGGCCCCGAAAGGCGGGCCUACCAAAGCAACAUGGUAUAUUAAACAAAGGAUUGGAGGUCGGGCCUAUAAGACCCUAACUCGGUAAUGAUCCUUCCGCAGGUUCACCUACGGAAA
RNAcentral lists this unclassified non-coding RNA (208 nucleotides) under uncultured fungus. RNAcentral describes it as "sequence contains ITS1". Lineage: Eukaryota; Fungi. The record is from RNAcentral.